CAGCGUUUGGAGGGACCGGUUUAGAGAGAGGGAGAGUCCGUCAGUCAGAGGCAGAGGUCGAGCCGUGGAGUAGAUCUCGCCGGCUGGGCUCGUCCCGGGGCUGGUGCGUCCUGCCUGCCGCCGGCGACCUCCUCGUCGGUGAGUACGUGCAGCAGCCCGGAGAGGUGCCAAAGGCUGGAUCUCGCAGAACAAGGACAUGAGGUACUUGGGCAUGGAAUGGGAAUCACAAUUGUUGUGGUGGAAAUGAAGAAUAUCCUGUUAUUUGGCUGCUACCAUCGAUGUUCUUUUAGAUUGAACAUUGCCAUGAGCGUUUCUCUACGCAAUGAAUAUAUUAGAUCAAGCAUCAUGUCAUGGACACCAUAAGACUUUUCUGCGUUGAUAGUGAUGUCUACGGGUUGGAUCGUACUUCUGUUUAUCAGCUCACUGAAGUAACUCUCCUAGCUCAAAUGGGUUAAUUUCGUGUUUACAUGAUACACAAAUCUUCAGCUAUCCAUCUUCAUAUGAAUUGGUCUCGCUUAAUUUUGUAAUCUUCUGGAUAUAUGCUUACAUAUAAUAAAUGAUGUGAAGAUAGAUCAUAGAACAAAACCAUAAUCUUUAGUCUUAAGCAAGUUAGGGUAAACUAGAGAUAGAACACAACAGAAGCCACACACACGAAUGACAUGGAAAGCAGCAAAGAAAUAGUAAAAGAAGCUCUUGACUUGUAGAUUAUGUCAAAGUGAUAAUCUAGAGUCAAGCUUCUUUUACUAUUAGUUUCGAUCUACCUUGUCAUCUAUAGGAUUAGUUAUUAUAUCUAAGUAUGUUUUCAGAAGAUUAGAAGAUUAAGCAAGGUCACUUGAUAGGUAAAUUGAUAGCCGAAUGUUUUGUUUAUCAUGGAAAACCAGAGAUUAGCCUAUUUGAGCUCAGUGAUAGAGUUACUCAAUGAGAUCAUAAAUAGAAGCAUGAUUCAACCAAUAGACAUCAAUUUGAUGAAGGCAUGAAAAAUCUUAUUGUGUUAUGAUAUGAUGAUUGAUCCAAUAUGUUUUUGCCAAGUGAAGAAAAACACUAACAUGGCACUGAGUGAAAGCGAUCUAUACAAAGGCAAGAUUUGAAUAUUAUCCACCCGAAAGAGAAUGUCAGAUAUGACCACCAUCAGAAGAAGCAACAAUGCCACAAGUGAGCUCUCUUGUAUAUCCAUGUGCUAUUGUCGAUUCAGCGUCGCAUAUGUUGAGCGUUUAUGUUCUACAUGUGUUAGAUUUAGAAUAUUGUGGUGAGCACUUCCAUUCUUGCCAAUUGAGAUGGUGAGGCUCAGGAACACUUCAUUUGCCAUGGUGUUUUGAUUCGUCUUCUGCAGCAACAUGAAACUCUCAUUGUAAUUGUACCCACUUAUGCCUGAAUACUGCUAUUACUUCAGUUAGAUUCAAGAAGCACCAAGUUUCUGCAGCGCUCCUGCAUUUUGCUAAUGAUGAACUUCCUUCUCCAUUUCUUUCUUUUGUAAGGAAGAGUUAUGUACUUAUGAUGUAUGACUGGCUGGUUAAUUUUCUGUCAAUUCAACAACCAGUUUGUAUGGUGGCCAGUGCAAUUUGCCCGUAUGAACCAUUAGUUAUUAUAUAUGUACUGAUGUCUGGUUUGCCUGCUCUCCUGCAUUCUUCAUUACACUCCAUUGUUUGUAAUAACUUUAUUUCAGACUCGCAACCUAAAAUGCCGCAUUCAGUUUGUCCUAUGUUCUGAAGUUCCAUCUUCUAUUUGUCAUUUUGAUCAAAUAAACAGGGAAGUCGGCAGUGUCAUUUUGAUGUACCCGCUUAGGACCUGUAUUGAGUACAUCUUUCUGUUGGAGUACAACUGGAACUUGAUUUGCCAUUUCGUCUCGUGGGUACCUUUUCUGUCAAUCACUCUGGAGUGGAAGUAUUGCCCUCAACUGAUGCAACGCUUUCUGGACGAGAGAAUGAUUGGAUGUUGCCCUCAACUCAAGUGGCUCUUCUAUCUCUAUACAGGGGAGCAAAUCAUGUGAUGUUUUAUUUUGCUAUUUUGCGACCAAAUUGUAUGGUGCCGCAGACAAAUAAGACCUGUCUACUAGCAACUUGGUAUGAUAAAUU
RNAcentral lists this ribosomal RNA (2072 nucleotides) under Triticum aestivum (bread wheat). RNAcentral's name for it is "partial small subunit ribosomal RNA". The record is from RNAcentral. Lineage: Eukaryota; Viridiplantae; Streptophyta; Magnoliopsida; Poales; Poaceae.